Molecule: long non-coding RNA, 2981 nt
Organism: Zootoca vivipara (common lizard)
Lineage: Eukaryota; Metazoa; Chordata; Lepidosauria; Squamata; Lacertidae
Source: RefSeq, a predicted model, not a curated record
AUUUCCCCCUCUCUUUUACAUCACCAUUCUUUUGGGGGGGGGCUUGCUAUCUGAAUGCAACGAUCAAGAAGAAGGCUGUGGGGGGUGCAUUGAGGGUGAGACUUUGUGGGAAUGAGACCAGAAGUCCGCAUGACGACCGCUGCUUGGAAAGUUUUUUUCCCUCCCUCUCCACCCCCCCUCCGGGAUUGCAGACUUCAAACAACUCCUCUUUCAGCAAGAUGCAAACACGUCUGCGGUGGAGGAAAUUAAACGUCAUAAAGAAAAGCCCAAUUAGGGUUUAAUGUCUCAACAUUACUGUUUCCUCCAGAAAACAAUGAAGUUCGCUCGAAAGCGCCCCCUCCCUCUCAAUGGCAAAGCUGUUCUCAUUAUGGUGAAAGAUAAGGAAACAUAUGAAAAAUGGCUGGAGUCCUUGUUUUGGCUGAGACGGAGGAGAAGAGCAGGUUCGCUUCCUUACUACCGCAAGAUGGUGGAGGGGAGCAUGAGAAUUAAAUCUCGAUCGAGGUCAACCCAUAAUUUUGGGUUAUCCAGCAGCCUACUUGCAAUGUUCCCUACGAAACGAGUCACUAUGAGGAGACAUCAUUAUGUGCACAUCCUUGAAGUCAACGGGAACUCCGAGUUUAAAAUAUUUAGUAUCGCGCUACUAGCAUUUAAAGGUAUUUUAAGAACAAAGCCAAACAAAUCUGCAUCCUUUUCCAGCGUGGAGUGGACGCACAAUUUUGGAUUUGGUCUCCCUACAGCCAUCCCUCUCGCUUACUGAAAUGGACAAUGAGACCAUGUGAGUUCCUAAACUCCUUACUGUAAAAAAAUAUCCUGUUAUAUGCAGACACAGAAUAGCAGUUUUGAAGAAGUCCCAAAGGGAGUAUGUCUGAUAAAGAAAGCAGAAUGGUGGAAUGUGCGAGUGAGGGAGAGAAUAGAAGCAUCAAACAGCACUUUGUUUGGUUCUGAAUCCUAGUAGGAGGAAGUCAAUAACUAAAGCAAUAUAAAGUUACUAAGAAACCAGAUAUUUAAAAUUUCUGUUUAGUAAGUCACUCUAUAUGUAUGUAUGUAUAUAUGUAUAUAUGUAUAAAGAGAGAGGGAGGGGGAGAGAUGAGAGAGAGAGAUUAUAGACGUCUGGUAUUUAAUAAAAAGAGGGCAUAAAAAUGGGGAGGGCGACAGCUGUAAUACAAGUAAAUAGUCAAAGGCACGAUCCAGCCAAAGACGGUCACUUUUAAAUUAAGUUCAGUGUGUGUGUGUGAAUAAAGUAUGUCCCUCAGUGACAUUGGUGGGAUUUUACUGCGACCGGAUCGUGACCACAAUAAUUCGACUUCAUAAGUGGAACGGCAUGCAGAGAAAUACAGUAUCUGAGUUUUGUUCCGAGUAAUUUUUAAAAACUAAGUACCUCAUUUUAGAAAUAGAAUUUGAGAUUUCAAGAAGGCUUUCCAAGGGAAUGCACACGAUUGAAAGUUAAAUGCAUUACUGCACUCACCCCCUUGCAACUUUAUUGUUAAAGGACAGAAUCUGGAUCUUUACUGGAUAAUUUAGAUCUUGUACCCCACUGAAAGUAACUCAUCUACCGCUAAUUUCUAGAAACCAUGAGACAUAAUAAUUCACGAGAUUUGAAAACAAAACAAAAAGCACAGAUAGAGACAUGCGUUUGUAGUUGCAUUUCAUGCGAAUUUCCAACAAUUGAUGUCUGGAGAUGCACUUGUGGGCUAUCAAGUUACUUUCAACUGUUUGCAUAUGCAUAUAUUGAGGGACACUUACAUUUCACGAGAGAGAGAGAGAGAGAGAGAGAGAGAGAGAGAGAGAGAGAGAGAGAGAGAGAGAGAGACUGCCUUGCGCACGCGCACAUGUCCCCAUGCAAACAAAGAGGCUGAUAUUUCAUAGCAUUGCCAAAAGGCGCUCUGAAGUAAUGAGCAUUCCUUAUAGCUGGUUUCUAUGUUUGCAGAAUGUCACCACAUAACUAUCCCAGGCAUUCUGUUUCAUUUUAUUCUGAUAAAUGUGGAUACUGGGGUUGAUUCCAGCACUACUGACUUACAACGGGGAGCGGGUAAGCUAUUGAAGUUUCUUUCCGCCCCUCCCCUGCAAAAACGUUGAGAUUUCACUUUGAUCACGGUGUGUCUGAUGGGAACAAGGCUGCCUGCUGGCUGAAAUGAAAGAAAUGUAGGUAUCAAGGUACACUAAAAAACAUCCAGCUCAUGCACACAACCAAAAGCAGAAUAUUUCAUAUAGUUAAAACCCUUUUCGCAAAAUCUCACUCACAGUGGCUGCUAUGGCUUCCUUCACACAAUCUAAUAAGAAGUUAUCCCGUUACAAUAAAGCUUAUAUCGUGCGUACGGAUAUAUUUGCUAAUAAAACUGGACUUUCAAGCGAAGCAAAAUUUCCUUAGAUGGGACUUGAUGAUCCACAUCCCGAGAACCUCAUCCAGACAAUAAAGCAUUUUUUAAAUAUAUGCAAGUCUAUUCACUCUCUGCGUGUUGUAGAAUUUUUUAUUAUUUAAAACGUUGGGUGCUUUUAAAAUGUUUGUGUAUUAUGUUGGUCAAUGGCCCACUUUCUUUGUUAUUUUCUUUUGAACACAAUUCAGUGCAGCUAUUCUUUUUGAAAGGAACCUGAAACACACCGAAAAUUGGCUUCUUGGGUGAAUUACUAGGUCCCCUUUCAUUUGGAAAGCGGAAUAAGCCAUUGGCAAACUCCAAUGAACUUGGCUUUGUAGCAUAUAUAUGUAGCAUAGUGUGUCUGGGCUGGAGGGGUCGGCCAAAUAUGUUGGUGCAAGAGUUCCUUUUAUUCGCUUCUAGCUUGCUAACUAGUGGAACUGACCUAACGAUCCUUACAUGUAUAUUGAUAUGGCGCAACCCAAAGCACGUUUUUAUUGGGAGCAAAGCCAAGCAACCCUAUGUAGACAAUGGGCCUCAAUUGAACUUGCUUGUGUGCAUAGGAUCAGACCCCACUGAGCAGUCACUGCACUUUAUUAUUCAUUGCAAUAUGCCAAGUAUCAUUUGCAA